Molecule: small RNA, 27 nt
Filed under: Bombyx mori (domestic silkworm)
Lineage: Eukaryota; Metazoa; Arthropoda; Insecta; Lepidoptera; Bombycidae
Description: ovarian small RNA-16240
Source: RNAcentral
GCAAGAUUGAGGGCAAAGUCGGAGCCG